UUGAGCAAUGACGGGAGAGGGAAUAUCAGGGAAGCCUCCAUGUGCACAUUGGGCUUAGUCGAUUUCAUCCUAUAAUCAGUUUUAUCUACGAUAAACCCUAAAAAUCUUUCAAUCUCUUCAUCUUCAGAUUGUUUUCAUUCGUUUGAUUUUGCUGUUUCUCUCCAAUUCGACUAUGGUUGCUUCCACGGCUAACGGCGACGAUGGAUUGAAGAAAUUGGAGUACUUAUCCCUUGUCUCCAAGGUAUGUUCUGAGCUUGAAACUCAUUUAGGUUUCGGAGAUAAAGUUCUUGCUGAGUUCAUAACGGAGAUGGGACGGAGCUGUGAGACGGUGGAUGAGUUCGAUGUCAAAUUGAAAGAGAAUGGCGCGGAAAUGCCUGAUUACUUUGUUCGCUCGCUUCUGAGGAUCAUUCACCUUAUUCUUCCUCCGCAGAAGAACAACGAAAAGGAGUUGAAGAAGGAUAAGGAAUCAGAUGGGAAGAAGAGCAAGUUUCGGGCCUUGGUGAUCGAUGAUGAUCGGGAGAGAGCGAAGGAGCUGGAGAAGGAAAUUGAGUUGGAGCUUCGCCAGAAGCGUGGGGACAGAGAUGAAGAAGAUGAUCGAUACAAGGGGAGGGCCGGGGACAGAGGAAAAGACAGAGAGAGGGACAGAGACAGAGACAGAGACAGAGGUAGGGAUAGGGAUAGAGAUAGAGAUAGGGAUAGGGAUAGGGAUAGGGAUAGGGAUAGGGAUAGUUACCGGGAUCGGGAUCGGGAUAGAGAUAGGCGCAGGGAUAGAUAUGAAAGGGAUGAGAGACAUGGUGGGAGGGAUCGCGACGAUGAUGGUGAUGAUGAUCACCGGAGAAGCGGAAGGCAAAGGGAUCGGAAUAGGAAAAAUGGAUAUGAAGAAGAUGAGCGUUAUGGGGGUGAUGCAGAAGCUGGUAAUGGCAAUUGGAGAGGUGAUAGGGACAAGCAUACACAAAAUGGGCGACACCACCCUGUCGACCAAGAACCUGAAUUGUACAAGGUCUACAAGGGUAGAGUUUCCAGAGUGAUGGACACGGGUUGCUUUGUCCAACUGAGCGAUUUUAGAGGUAAGGAGGGUCUGGUUCAUGUUUCUCAGAUUGCCACCCGAAGGAUUAGCAAUGCCAAGGAUAUUGUAAAGCGUGAUCAAGAGGUUUAUGUCAAGGUCAUUUUAUUUUCAGGGCAAAAGUUGAGCCUUUCUAUGAGGGAUGUCGAUCAGCAUUCUGGCAAGGAUUUACUUCCGUUAACGAAGAAAAAAGAUGCCGACGAUGGUCCUAGAAUGAAUCCUUCAGAUUCAAAGGAUGAUGGGCCGGUGGUUAGGACUGGCCUUUCGGGGAUUAAAAUUGUGGAAGAUGAUGUUACUGUCCCUUCACGCAGACCUUUGAAGCGCAUGAGCUCACCUGAGAGAUGGGAAGCCAAGCAGCUGAUGGCUUCUGGGGUUUUAAGUGUAAGCGAGUAUCCUUCUUAUGAUGACGAGGGAGACGGGUUAUUAUACCUAGAAGAGGGUGCUGCUGAAGAAGAGCUUGAGAUUGAGUUGAAUGAGGACGAGCCUGAAUUUCUGCAAGGCCAGAGCAGAUACUCAAUUGAUAUGUCGCCAGUUAAGAUCUUUAAAAAUCCGGAAGGGUCACUGAGUCGAGCAGCUGCACUUCAAUCUGCACUCAUUAAGGAGCGUAGAGAAGUUCGUGAGCAGCAGCAGAGGACCAUGCUCGAUUCAAUUCCAAAGGAUCUUAAUCGACCUUGGGAAGACCCUAUGCCAGAGACUGGUGAGAGACAUCUUGCACAGGAGCUCAGGGGUGUUGGCUUGUCGGCCUAUGAUAUGCCAGAGUGGAAGAAGGAUGCCUAUGGAAAAGAUAUCAGUUUUGGGCAGAAGUCAAAGCUCUCUAUCCAGGAACAGAGGCAGAGCUUACCCAUUUACAAGCUGAAGAAAGAACUUAUUCAGGCUGUUCAUGAUAAUCAGGUUCUUGUUGUCAUUGGCGAGACUGGUUCAGGUAAGACAACACAAGUAACUCAGUAUCUUGCUGAAGCUGGGUACACAACAUCUGGUAAAAUUGGAUGUACUCAACCACGUAGGGUGGCUGCAAUGUCCGUCGCAAAGAGGGUUGCUGAAGAGUUUGGAUGUCGCUUAGGAGAGGAAGUUGGAUAUGCUAUUCGUUUCGAGGAUUGUACAGGACCUGAUACCGUGAUCAAGUAUAUGACUGAUGGUAUGCUUCUUAGGGAGAUUUUGAUUGAUGAUAAUUUGUCUCAGUACUCCGUAAUUAUGCUUGAUGAAGCUCACGAGAGAACGAUCUUCACUGAUGUUCUUUUUGGGUUGCUGAAGAAACUUGUGAAAAGGAGACCCGAUCUUCGUCUAAUCGUCACAUCCGCUACUUUAGAUGCUGAAAAAUUUUCAGGAUAUUUCUUCAAUUGUAAUAUUUUUACAAUUCCUGGGAGAACUUUCCCUGUGGAGAUCCUCUAUACCAAGCAGCCAGAAACUGAUUAUCUUGAUGCUGCCUUAAUCACUGUCUUGCAGAUCCACUUGACAGAACCUGAAGGAGACGUACUUCUUUUUUUGACUGGUCAGGAGGAGAUUGAUUUUGCAUGUCAGUCGCUCUACGAGAGAAUGAAAGGACUUGGUAAAAACGUUCCCGAGUUAAUUAUUCUACCAGUCUACAGUGCCUUACCCAGUGAAAUGCAGUCCAGGAUAUUUGAACCGGCUCCUCCGGGUAAAAGGAAAGUUGUAGUGGCUACGAACAUUGCUGAGGCCUCGUUGACAAUAGAUGGAAUUUUUUAUGUUAUUGAUCCUGGAUUCGCUAAACAGAAUGUAUAUAACCCAAAGCAAGGGCUUGAUUCUCUUGUCAUUACACCAAUCUCACAAGCAUCAGCCAAACAGCGUGCAGGUCGUGCAGGGCGAACAGGACCUGGAAAAUGCUACCGCCUCUAUACUGAGAGUGCUUAUCGCAAUGAGAUGUCUCCUACAUCAAUACCAGAAAUCCAGAGGAUUAAUCUUGGUCAUACUACUCUUACAAUGAAAGCAAUGGGGAUAAAUGAUCUUCUGUCAUUUGAUUUUAUGGAUCCACCUUCACCCCAAGCUCUAAUUUCAGCAAUGGAACAACUUUACAGUCUAGGAGCACUUGACGAAGAAGGACUUCUGACUAAGUUGGGUAGAAAAAUGGCCGAGUUUCCGUUAGAUCCACCUUUGUCUAAAAUGCUGCUAGCUAGUGUGGAUCUUGGAUGCAGUGAUGAGAUCUUGACAAUAAUUGCUAUGAUUCAGACUGGAAAUAUCUUUUACAGGCCAAGGGAAAAACAAGCCCAGGCUGAUCAGAAAAGGGCCAAAUUUUUCCAGCCAGAGGGAGAUCAUCUGACGUUGCUUGCAGUUUAUGAGGCAUGGAAAGCCAAAAACUUUUCAGGCCCCUGGUGUUUUGAGAACUUUGUUCAAUCUCGGUCCUUGAGGAGAGCGCAGGAUGUGAGGAAACAACUUCUUUCGAUUAUGGACAAGUAUAAAUUGGACGUAGUGAGUGCAGGCAAGAAUUUCACUCAGAUAAGGAAGGCCAUCACAGCCGGAUUCUUUUUCCAUGCAGCCAGAAAGGAUCCUCAAGAGGGUUAUCGGACUCUAGUCGAGAACCAACCAGUUUAUAUCCAUCCGAGCAGUGCAUUAUUCCAAAGACAGCCCGACUGGGUCAUAUACCACGAGCUGGUCAUGACGACAAAAGAAUACAUGCGCGAAGUAACAGUCAUAGAUCCCAAAUGGCUCGUUGAAUUAGCUCCAAGAUACUUCAAAGUUGCAGAUCCAACAAAGAUGAGCAAGCGAAAGAGGCAAGAGCGUAUCGAACCGCUCUACGACAGAUAUCACGAACCUAACUCUUGGAGAUUGAGUAAGAGACGAGCUUAAUUAACAUGGUUCGUUCUAUGCCAUAUUUGACUGACUUUGUAUAUAGAAAUCCUGUUGUGUAAGAAGCUGUUGAGGGUAAAAAGGGGCAUUAGAAGAUGGCUUCCCAUUACUGGGAGAGGUCUUUUAGCUGUAGUUAGAGGUAAUUAAAGAGAGAGUGGGAGAGGGAACUUGGGUGUCAAAUCUUCCGCUAUCACUGAAGCGUUGAGUUUUAUUAAUUUCAUCAUUCUUUUGCCCCCAUGCAAGAAA
Cucurbita maxima (winter squash) is the source of this 4111-nucleotide RNA transcript. It is a transcript of the gene named probable pre-mRNA-splicing factor ATP-dependent RNA helicase DEAH5, with no coding region annotated. The record is from RefSeq and is a predicted model, not a curated record. Lineage: Eukaryota; Viridiplantae; Streptophyta; Magnoliopsida; Cucurbitales; Cucurbitaceae. The transcript has 3 exons.